This is a non-coding RNA of Phyllosticta capitalensis, 132 nucleotides long. NCBI's taxonomy places the organism in Eukaryota, Fungi, Ascomycota, Dothideomycetes, Botryosphaeriales, Phyllostictaceae. The record is from the annotation of a GenBank genome assembly.
GCGGGGUUGGUGUAGUUGGUCAUCACGUCAGUCUAACAAAAUCUCCUCUUCUUCAUUUCACAAUGUGAUGUGGAGCACCCGACGAGUCUUGUUGUGCACUGAAGGUCCCGAGUUCAAGUCUCGGAUCCCGUA